UACGGGGGGAGCAAGCGUUGUUCGGAUUUACUGGGCGUAAAGGGCGCGUAGGCGGCGCAACAAGUCACUUGUGAAAUCUCCGGGCUUAACCCGGAGCGGUCAAGUGAUACUGUCGUGCUAGAGUGCGGAAGGGGCUACUGGAAUUCUCGGUGUAGCGGUGAAAUGCGUAGAUAUCGAGGGGAACACCUGCGGCGAAGGCGGGUAGCUGGGCCGACACUGACGCUGAUGCGCGAAAGCCAGGGGAGCGAACGGG
RNAcentral lists this ribosomal RNA (253 nucleotides) under uncultured bacterium. RNAcentral's name for it is "partial 16S ribosomal RNA". It matches the Rfam family "Bacterial small subunit ribosomal RNA", at positions 524 to 776 of the family's 1533-position model. The record is from RNAcentral.